UCUGUUUGUAAGGAGUGGCAAGAAAUUGACGCUGAAUAUAGCACGAAAUUAAGGAGAAUUGUUAUUACUCUGUGUAGAUUUCAAACUUUACCCAAGGCAAAUAGAGGGUUCAAACUUUCGCAUAAGUGUGGUCAUUCGUGCACAUGCAUAAAUAUAUGUACUAUAUGUCUGUACAAUCUAGAUCCAAUUGUGUAAAAGGGCCACUCACUCAC
Molecule: long non-coding RNA, 212 nt
Organism: Rhagoletis zephyria (snowberry fruit fly)
Lineage: Eukaryota; Metazoa; Arthropoda; Insecta; Diptera; Tephritidae
Source: RefSeq, a predicted model, not a curated record